GUGUCAGCAGACAAAUGGGUGGGUCUCUGGAUAAACCCUCUAAGGAUAGCCCUUUGGAUUAUAUGUUAAGUAAAUGGCCUUUACCUGGUGUUCAGAAAGGUAUAUCAAGGAAGCACUUUGUACAACUUUGCACCCAGGACUGGCCAACCCUGGGGACUGCAUGGCCCGAAUUUGUCUCCUUUGAUAUUCCGACUUAUUUAACUCCUUUACACCUGAUAUUAGAGAAUCAAGCGCCUGGUCAAAUGGACUAUUGGUUUUUGUGGGACGAUGAGGCUCAUCGUCGUUUAAAGAAGAUAAAAAUCCAGACCCCUCUAUUCCCGAAAGCUUCUGCCCCAAGUGAAGCCGAUUGUUGGGAAGAUACCCUCCCCCAUGUAUUGUCCUAGACCGCGGCCACCCUCGGCAGAAAUAUCACAGGUUGUGGCGGACCAGGUUUCCUUGUCUACGGGGCCCAAGACAGUGGCCCCCCCACCGAAGACUGAGGCAACCACAAUUCAAGUUAAUGAAUCAACUAGUGGAGCGACGGGUAGUGGGUACACCUCUGUUCUGUCUACCGCCAUUAGUCCGUCUCGUACGAGACAGGGAGUAGUCUAUGGGGAGGAUGCGGUUAAAACCCAGGCACCCCUUCGGACCAUCCCGGUACCCACUACGGAUGGAGAGGGUGUAGACCAUUAUGUACAUGUCCCUUUUACUACAGCAGAUCUUAUGAACUGGCAAAACACUAUGCCUCGCCUCAGAGAUGACCCUGACGUCGUUCACAGGCGAUUCUGUGCUAUUUUUCAAUCUCAUAAUCCUGAUUGGCAAGACGUGGGCCAACUUUUAGAUUGCCUACUGCGCACGGAGGAGAAAGAGCGGGUCCUAAGGGGGGCCCGGGAGGCAGCAGAGGCUGCCGGUGACGGACGUGAUUUGAUAGCUCUCACUAACCCUACCCAAUGGAAUCCGAAUAAUUCAACCCACCAGGCAAACUUAAAGAAAUUCUUAACUCAUGUUUUGACAGGUGUAAAACAAGCAGGAGAAAGAACUCUAGAUUGGCCAAAAGUCCAUAAUACUGUGCAGGGGAAAGAAGAACACCCUUCUGACUUUUAUGAGAGACUUUGUAAAGCAUUUUGUACUUUUACUAAUAUAGAUCCCAAGGCUGCGGACACACAGUCCACGGUCAGGCUUGUUUUUAUCUCUCAGUCAGCUCCGGACAUUAAGCAGCGGUUGCAGCAGCUCGAAGGCGCUGAGGGAAAAUCCCUGGAGGAACUGGUAAGUGUAGCCACCCGUGUGUAUCACACAAGAGAUAAAAUUCAAGAGACCAAACAGGUGAGAAUGCUAGCAGCCCUUGUGAACGCGGGGAGCAAAAGACAAGGAGGGAGGUGGGGACCCCCGAAGUGGCAACCGAAGGCAGAUCGUGGGGGGCCCCAAGCCGUGCAAAUGAUGUAUGCCAUUACUGUAAGCAACUUGGUCACUGGAGGAGAGAGUGCCCAAACCGACGUACCGGACGACAGCCCCGACCUCGAUAUCAGAUAGAAGUGGAAAGAACAGACGCUGUCAAUAGUGAGGAAUGAUGGCGACCCGGGGGUCCACUUGUUACCUACUCAAAUGACUUUACCACUUAUGUUUGUUCCUCCACAGACCCCCAGGUCUGUUUAACUCUGGGAGAACCACUUAUUCUUGUCUUUUGGACUCGGGGGCUGCCCUUUCCACUGUUAUUGCCAAGCCAAAGGAAGGAAACCUCACAGAUAAAAGCAUUCCGAAUCAACUCCCCCAGCUAUGUGCCGCAUUAACCCAGGCUACCGAGGACCCGAUCCUGCCUGUGAGCCCGAUGAACCUGCCUGAAUGACUCAGACGAGAGGUACACGCCUCCCUAUGGGGCAUUUCCAAAACAAACCUUGGCACUCUCUGGACAGAGCCUGUGCAAAUAACCCUGACAUUCCUCGAAUCAGACAAUAUCCCAUCCCCCAAGAAGCUCUGCUUGGCCUCCGGAAUCUUAUCAACACAUUCCUACGGUUGGGAGUGCUUAUUCAUACUUCAUCCCCUUUCAACACUCCCAUUCUGCCUGUUAGAAAACCUGACCUGGAUCCAGAAUGAAAACCGGUAUACAGAUUUGUGCAGGACUUGCGUGCAGUGAGUAAAGUUGUUCAGGCUAGACACAAUGUGGUACCUAAUCCUCACACAAUUCUGACUGCCAUUCCAGCAGGUACUGCUUGUUAUUCAGUAAUAGAUCUGUGUAAUGCCUUUUUCAGUAUUCCUCUAGAUCAAGACAGCUGGGAUAUCUUCGCAUUUACAUGGACGGACCCAGAGACCGGGAGAGCAGAACAACUGACCUGGACUCGGCUACCACAGGGAUAUGUUCGAGUGUGAGAGCGUAACACUUGGAUUCAUUACACCCGAGUCAAGCUAGCCCCUAGGCCGGGGCCAGAAGCAGACGACUCCGGACCUCGAGGGAGCCCCGCCAGCUCUUCCCACCGCGACCCGGAAGAGCCUGAAGCAGACGAUACCUGGAAGGCUGAACCUCUCGAGGGACUAAAGCUCCUGUUCCGACGGAAUAAGCCCUGAGACUUUUACUGACUAUGAAUUUCUGGGCGGUGAGACAAUGGUUACUUGCUUUCAGUUUGCCCUUUGUACAUGCCAACCCCCACCCAGCGGUUGAAUCCUUGCAGCAACUGGCCCAGAAGUGGCUUUGCAAAAUAGACGUGUGUUAGAUGCCAUGAAAGCUCAAAUGGGGGGGGGGGGCUUGUGCUCGCAUUGGAGAAAAACGUUGCUUUUAUGUUAAUUACUCUGGCUUAAUUGAAAAGGAUUUACAAGCUAUUAAGAAUGCUGCUGUUGUAUUUCACGCUGUAUCUCUUGAUCACACCUUUAGUUUUGAGGACCUCCUCCCAGACCUUGGGUCUUGGUUCACUGGCCUUUUCCGUACAAUUAUUAAAUGGAUUGUUUUCUGUCUAUUCUUCCUAUGUGUUAGUUGGAUAAUGAUUCACUGUGCAAAAUGUCUGUGUAAUACUGUAACCAAACACUCUGCUCUCUGUAAGACAACCCAAUACCUGUCUCUUCAGCUUGAUCGUAAGUUACGUAACAGGCCUGACAAUCUGAGCUUAUCAGGCCCGAAGGGGGGACUGUGAAAUCUAUUUGGUACCCCCUCCCUGCCCUUUUAAUAGUUAUGCAAACGGCCAGCAGGUGGAGGCAGAAGCCUCCAAAAACCUCACGUACACAGUAUCCUGAACUUUCAAACUAGCUUUUUUUUCUACCACAAAGCAGAAAAAAUCUUGCUCCAAGCCAGUUUUCCCUGACCAGAUAACGGUUUCACGGGGUCCGGUAACCACCAAUGAAGUGUUAACACGGCAUGGUCUUUGUCUAAAUGUGUAUAAAAGAUCUGUAAACCUUGUGUCAGGCAGAGUCUUCUGUAUCUAUUACAGAGCUCUCCUUUCUUCUGCAGAAUAAAGAAUUUUUCCUUAUCCCUGUCAGGCUGUUAUUGGCUCUCAGCUAGGCAGACCCGAUAUUUCGGUAACAAUGUCGAUGUAUAUCUAGCCCCAUAGAAAAACAUCCGUCUAUCUAGUGUCUACCUGUCUACCUACUUUUCCAUAACUAAGCCAGGAGCUAGGCUAUUUAUAAGAAGUCAAUUAAAA
Molecule: RNA transcript, 3602 nt
Organism: Mauremys mutica (yellowpond turtle)
Lineage: Eukaryota; Metazoa; Chordata; Testudines; Geoemydidae
Exons: 2
Source: RefSeq, a predicted model, not a curated record